GUUCGGAUUGUAGUCUGCAACUCGACUACAUGAAGCUGGAAUCGCUAGUAAUCGCGGAUCAGAAUGCCGCGGUGAAUACGUUCCCGGGUCUUGUACACACCGCCCGUCACACCAUGGGAGUCGGAAAUGCCCGAAGUCUGUGACCCAACCUUAGGGAGGGAGCAGCCGAAGGCAGGUCGGAUGACUGGGGUGAAGUCGUAACAAGGUAGC
RNAcentral lists this ribosomal RNA (210 nucleotides) under uncultured bacterium. RNAcentral describes it as "partial 16S ribosomal RNA". It matches the Rfam family "Bacterial small subunit ribosomal RNA", at positions 1291 to 1500 of the family's 1533-position model. The record is from RNAcentral.